Molecule: long non-coding RNA, 1225 nt
Filed under: Helianthus annuus (common sunflower)
Lineage: Eukaryota; Viridiplantae; Streptophyta; Magnoliopsida; Asterales; Asteraceae
Description: hypothetical non coding rna
Source: RNAcentral
GUAGAGGUAGUACAUUUUGCUUGUAAUGUUGUACGGUGGUUUUCAGAAAACCUAGGCCUGCUGGGCUGUUAGCGUUAUUUUCUUCUCUAUCCUUGCUUCACCCUCAUCACCACUCCAGACCACCCCUUCAUCCCUACGUCAACCAAAACACUCAUCUCUUCCCUUCCUCCUCUUAUAUCAGACUCAAAAUUGACAUUAGGGUUUACUUAUCGAAGAUGGGGGACGACCAUAAGCUCGGAGAUCCAUUGAUAUGCUGGAAGCGAAGCUUAUCUAUAAACAAGAAACAUCCGGUACGGCAUUCAGAUGAAAUAGAUGGAGAAAGAAAGAGAUGGAGGGAGACGGCGUGAAGGACAAGGAGGCUGACCACCAUCGUUAGAGGGAGGCUUGGCGUUGGCAUCAUCACAUUCAGAUGAAAUAGAUGGAGAAAGAAAGAGAUGGAGGGAGACGGCGUGAAGGACAAGGAGGCUGACCACCAUCGUUAGAGGGAGGCUUGGCGUUGGCAUCAUCACCAUCCACACGCUGGUUGUAUUCCGGCGAACCUAGGGUUCUGCUGUGACUUCCGACGGUGGUGGAUAGGGUCAAAUCAACCACCAAAACCGGCGGCGACUAGGGUUUCGUGGUGUAAGGGGUUGCUGAUGAGAUUCAAAUCCCACUCAGGGAGAUUUUUGUUGAGUAUCUUGAGAGGUAUUGGACACCUCUUCUUCAUCACCAAACGCAUGCUAAAAGCACCAAGAAGAUUGUGCUGAGGUUGCAAGCAUGUGUCCCGGCAUCCAAUUAAGGUUAGCUUUGAAUCUCUUUUGAUGUUUUUUUAUUUACUUUUGUUGUUGUUACUGUUGCUUUUUUUAUGUUUUGUGCAUAGAUGCAAACAUUUUGACAUUGGUGGAGACAAAGGCCAAUGGAACUAAACAAAAAAGAUGCAAACAUUUUGGCAUUGGUGCAGAGAUGCAAACUUUUUGACAUUUGUAUACGUCGUAUGUGUUAAUUCGUCGAAUAACUUGAUUGAUUAGGAAAAUGUAUUUUGCGCAACUUAUGUAACUAACAUGCUUGGUGUUAACAUCCUAAGUUGCGACCAUAAUACAUAUACAAAUCUAGGCAUAAACUCUUGGUUUAACGGAAAUAUAAAUCUAGCCCCCGCCGCAUCGCGGCAGGUUACUUUUCUAGUUGAGUUCUAUUUGGUAGGGGUUCAUUUUCCCAGACAACUAUAGCAUUAAAUGAUUAUUUAUUU